CAACAUCACUUUAUUUGCAAAUCUGGCUUGAAUAAUUUGGAGCACAUGGAAUGAAAUUUAUUUUGGCGGGAACAUGUGUGUGUAGGAAAUGUUAAUCUACUUUAAAUUAAAUAAUAUUAAAUAAUAAAUAGAUAUAGACGGCGCGCGCACACACAGAGAGCUAAACGCAGCCUCCCCUCUUUCUCCGGCGAAAACGCCGCCGCCUCUUUCCCAGCCUGACGCCACCUCUCAUCUCUCUUCCUCCCUCAUCGAUACACGCACACAAACACCUACGCAAACCCUUUCCCCUCUCUCUACUUCCUCUCUGCCACCGUUCGCCGGCGGAAAGCAUCCGCAGCAACAGCGGCGCUGCUUCAUCUCUCCUUUGACAUCCAACAGACCACAGCUCCAAACACACAUUGGCGCAUACUCACCAGGUGUUCGAUUAAAAGAGACAGAAAUUCGGUGGGGGAUUUUUGGGGCACCUAUUAAUUGAAUCCCCGAGCCGAUGGAAUUAUCCAAUUUUUUCAGAGUUCUCAAGGAGCUGAGAUGGGUGUUUGCUAGUUGCAUCGUUGGCAUGAGCGGUAUUGGUAAUAUAUGAUAAUAUUGAAAGAUAUUAUGGACUAGAUUAGGAUAUAUUUGAUAUAUUCUAAUAACACUUAAUUAAUUGGAAAUUAGUUGGACGAUUGGACCAAUUAUUUGGAGUAGAAUUGGUUUUCUUAGUAAGACAACUCUUUGGCUUAUAAGAGAAGACAACUCUUGGCUUACAAGGUAAGAGAAUUCUUUGGCUUAUAAGAAGGAGUUCUUGGUCUUACAAGUUGGGGGGUCUUUUGGCUUACAAGACACUAAGAGAGCACACUAUAGUUUCAAUCGGAGAUUUCCUAGCUGUCAAAGAUUGAAUCGUGUACUUAGAAUUGUUUCUGCAUCGAAUCAACAUACACAUGGAUACCUUAGUAGUGGAUUCACGGCAAGAAUCGAGACGCACACUUACCACACAACGAGUAAGUUAUUUUUAUUGUUGUGUGCUUAUCUCUACACAUGAUGCAUUUGUAAAUCUAGAUGUAAUCCUUGAAUGUAUAUUAUGUUGCGUAUCAUUAGAUGAUGUCAAGGAUAAUCAACAGUGGUAUCAGAGCCCGGGGCUCGAUUUACAAUUGUGAUUGUGUUCUAAUAACUUAUGGGUUAAGAAAUUUAAUUUGGGAUUAAAUAUGUUCAAAAUCUGUUUUGAAAUUGAUUUUUUUGAAAUGGUUUUGGACGUUUCUGAAAUUGGGUGAAUAUUGCCGGGCUAUAUUCAAACCUUCUUUGCUGGAUCACUGCUGCUGCCAUCGACCACCGCCGAUGCAGAGGGCGUGGGUGAUUGACGAGGCGGUGCAGGUGGGUCGGGGCUCGCCGGUGCGCCGCGCCCGACCACUCGCCGCCGUCUGCGUCGCGCCUCGAUUCAGAGACGCCGCUGUCCCUCUGCAACGCGUCCAUAAUGCGGGCUUGGAGUCCGGAAAUGGAGGGUGACUGAUGGUGGAGGUCUUGCACGCCUCCGGGCGGUGAACGGCGACAGGGAGCUUCGAGCUCCUGCCGGAGUGGUCGACGAACGGUAAGGAAGGAGGCUGGCAUUUGGAGACGUCGCCGCUUUUCUCCGACGCGGCUUCGAGCCGCGACCGGCGUGAAGACCAUCGGACGCGCGACGUCGCAGCAUCAAGCGACGGGAAGAAGAAAGCAGCAGUGGCUGCUGUUGUAAAACAGAUCCAAACCCUGUGGGUUUUGGGCCGCGGGCCCUUGGGCCUUGAGCUGGGCUUGUGCUUCCUUUGUUGGGCUGCCCUUGAUUCUAUGGGCUGCGAAAAUUAUUUAAUGAAAGGGGCUGGGCCUGCAUUUCAUUUAAAUGGUUUUGGACUGGCUGUAACAAAAAAAAAAAUAUUUUAUUAUUUUUGAAUUAAUAAUUGAACCCCAGUUUCAUAAUUAAUUUAUUAAUUGGAUUAAUAAAUUUAAAUUAUUGUUAUUAGUUUUGAAUUAAUAAUAAUAUAAAUAAAUUUAUAUUAAUUUAGAAUUAAUAUAAAUUGAUUAACCUAUAUUUAAUUAGAGAAUAAAAUAUUAAUUUGAUUAAUGAUUUUAUUCGUAGAUAUUUAUGUCUUUAUGUGAUAAGCAUGCUAUUUGAUUUUAUGCUUAUUAUUUAACUAUAGUAGUUAAAGACCGCAUUUAUCUUGGGUAGGCGGCGCUCAGUAUAUGUAGUCCACUUUGUUAUGUAUGGGUAGGCGGCGCCCAAUAUGUGUGGUCCGCAUUUUAUAUGCCUGGGUAGGUGGCAACUAGUAAUUGUUUUGCUAUUUAAUAUUGGAUAUUAAAUAUAAGCAAUUAGUAUCACAUACUAAUUGGAAGUUGGCUUUAAUUUAGUGGGAGUUUUGGUUUGAAUGUCUUAGAAACAAUUUGUAUUGAGACAUCCUUACCUGGUCACAUUUAUAUAUGUUAUUUGAUUUCAUGGGCUAGUGCAUUUAUUAGAAUAUUUGAUUUUAUUGUUUGACUUUAUUCUUUUAUUUGUUCCCUUGAAUUAUCACUACUAUUAAUGAUGUGAGACAUUAAUGGUUUGAGUGUAAUUCUAAAGAUGCCCUAACCAAUGGUCAUCAAGAAUGGAUAUUGAUGAUAUGCGAUAGGUUAGCAUGUGGUUUGCAUCAUAUUCUUAGAGAAUGUAGUUGAUCUCACAACUACGAGUAAUUUGAUUCUCGUGAUGGACACAUGAAUAUUUUGGAGAGUAUUGGUAUACCCUGCUAUUAAAUUAUUUGUUCUAGUGUCUAUGAUUUAAUAGUGUAUGGAGUAUGUAAUAGUCUUUUGACUUGAGGUCAAUACCCAUUUUGUUUGUUGAGUGGUGUGCUUUGACCAAGUACAAUGCUUGCACUCCAUCAAAGGGGUAGAUACGGCUUGUGUUGGGUACAUCAUGAGGCAAAUAGAAAUAGUAGUUGAGCCAAGAAUAUGAUUCAUUCCUCGAUUUGAAUUUCGAGAGAACCCUUCAAAUUCUCUAUAUUAUUUGACCGCAAGUUAUUGGCCAAUGCAAAAUUAUAUUCAAUUAGAGUAAUUGAAUGAUGCGUGUGAUUUAGUUAUCUAUUUUUGUGUCGUUUUCCCGUUGUUUUUGCUCGGAUAUUACCCGUUGUGUGCAAUUUUGACAUAGGGAUUGCAUGGAUGGAGGAGAAAGCUUGAAGAUGGGAGAAUGAAUGAAAGUCGAGAAAUUGGUUGAAGAAUUGGCGAAUUUGUGGAGAGAUUUAGAGAUUUGGGCUUUGGAGAUAUUUAUCUUGUAAUUUAAUUAAGCCAAAUACUCUUUUAAUUAAUUUUGGGCUUUAGUUAUUUUUUGGGAGGGGCCGAAACCCAUGAAAAUUAGGGUGUUCGGCCGCUUAAGAGUGAAUUCCCUUGAGUUUGAUUUCAAUUAGGACUCUUAGUUUAGAGGGAGCCGCAACUUUAGACUAGGAAUUAUAGUUGACUUUGAUUAGGAUUUGAGAUACACUUUUACAUUAUUUUAGCUUGGAGCAGACGUUUUUUUUACUUAUUAGAUUUAGACUUUUAUUUCAUGUUUUUGGGAGUUAAUUGCUUAGGGAUCGUACUUGGCAGGAGACAUCCCUUUCCUUUUGUUCCAAUUGCGGUGAUCUCUUUCAAUUUUAAUUGCAAUUUACUU
Salvia miltiorrhiza (redroot sage) is the source of this 3622-nucleotide long non-coding RNA. RefSeq lists it as uncharacterized. The record is from RefSeq and is a predicted model, not a curated record. The transcript has 2 exons. Lineage: Eukaryota; Viridiplantae; Streptophyta; Magnoliopsida; Lamiales; Lamiaceae.